AUGGAGUGUGUUACUACAGUUAAGUAUUCAGUGAAAUUCAAUGGCAAACUCAGUUUUCUCCGACAUGAGGCCUCCGACAAGGUGAUCCAUAUACCCCCAUUCUUAUUCUUAUUUGUUGCUGAUGCACUCUCGGCCUUGUUGAAUAAGGUGGUGGUGGAAAGGGGCCUACUUCCAGUUAUUAUAUGUCGGAAUGCACCUCCUAUUUCUCAUCUCCUGCUUGCGGAUGAUUCAUUGUUAUUUUUCCAAGCAAGUGGACCUCAGGCAAAUAUUAUCAAGGAUGUUUUGAACACUUUCGAGGCGGCAACGGGACAACUUAUCAAUCUGUCCGAGUGCUCCAUCUUGUUUUCUGAUAAUUGUUUGACAGUUGUGUCCCAAUAA
Molecule: ribosomal RNA, 378 nt
Filed under: Triticum aestivum (bread wheat)
Lineage: Eukaryota; Viridiplantae; Streptophyta; Magnoliopsida; Poales; Poaceae
Description: partial small subunit ribosomal RNA
Source: RNAcentral